CAGUAGCCGCGGUAAUACCAGCAGCCCAAGUGGUGGUCGCGAUUAUUGGGCCUAAAGCGCUCGUAGCCGGGCCGGUAAGUCCCUUGCGAAAUCGGACGGCCUAACCGUUCGGCGUGCAAGGGAUACUGUCGGUCUUGAGGCCGGGAGACGUCCGAGGUACUCCGGGGGUAGCGGUGAAAUGUUCUGAUCCUCGGGGGACCACCGGUGGCGAAGGCGUUCGACGAGAACGGGCCUGACGGUGAGGGGCGAAGGCUAGGGGAGCAAACGGGAUUAGAUACCCCAGUAGUCCCUGUCUCUUAUA
This 301-nucleotide ribosomal RNA is filed under the name uncultured bacterium. RNAcentral's name for it is "partial 16S ribosomal RNA". It matches the Rfam family "Archaeal small subunit ribosomal RNA", at positions 459 to 759 of the family's 1478-position model. The record is from RNAcentral.